This 84-nucleotide transfer RNA is filed under the name Nesterenkonia alkaliphila. Its description in RNAcentral is "tRNA-Tyr". It matches the Rfam family "tRNA". Rfam says of the family: Transfer RNA (tRNA) molecules are approximately 80 nucleotides in length. Their secondary structure includes four short double-helical elements and three loops (D, anti-codon, and T loops). Lineage: Bacteria; Bacillati; Actinomycetota; Actinomycetes; Micrococcales; Micrococcaceae. The record is from RNAcentral.
GGCGGAUUACCCGAGCGGCCAAAGGGGGCUGACUGUAAAUCAGCUGGCACUGCCUACGGGGGUUCGAAUCCCUCAUCCGCCACC